This 253-nucleotide ribosomal RNA is filed under the name uncultured bacterium. Its description in RNAcentral is "partial 16S ribosomal RNA". It matches the Rfam family "Bacterial small subunit ribosomal RNA", at positions 524 to 776 of the family's 1533-position model. The record is from RNAcentral.
GACGAAGGAUGCAAGCGUUAUCCGGAUUCAUUGGGUUUAAAGGGAGCGUAGGCGGAUUGGUAAGUCAGUGGUGAAAUCUUCGAGCUUAACUCGGAAACUGCCAUUGAUACUAUCAAUCUUGAAUUAUCUGGAGGUAAGCGGAAUAUGUCAUGUAGCGGUGAAAUGCUUAGAUAUGACAUAGAACACCCAUUGCGAAGGCAGCUUACUACGGAUAUAUUGACACUGAGGCACGAAAGCGUGGGGAUCAAACAGG